Unclassified non-coding RNA from Pongo abelii (Sumatran orangutan), 160 nucleotides. It matches the Rfam family "Metazoan signal recognition particle RNA". From Rfam's summary of the family: The signal recognition particle (SRP) is a universally conserved ribonucleoprotein. It is involved in the co-translational targeting of proteins to membranes. NCBI's taxonomy places the organism in Eukaryota, Metazoa, Chordata, Mammalia, Primates, Hominidae. The record is from Ensembl.
GCUAGGCACAGUGGUGUGUGCCUAUAAUCCCAGCCACUUGGGAAGCUGGAGUGGGAGGAUCAUUUGAGGCCAGGAGUUCAAGGCUGCAGUGCACUGUGCUCCACACCUGUGAAUAGCCACUGCAUUCCAGCCUGGGCAAGACAGUGAGACUCCAUCUCUU